This is a long non-coding RNA of Cucumis sativus (cucumber), 647 nucleotides long. RefSeq lists it as uncharacterized. The transcript has 2 exons. Lineage: Eukaryota; Viridiplantae; Streptophyta; Magnoliopsida; Cucurbitales; Cucurbitaceae. The record is from RefSeq and is a predicted model, not a curated record.
CUUUCUCUAAUCUAUAAUUAGAAAAUAUGCUUAGCCUUUAAGUUAUAAUAAGAAAAUUAGUUUUUGUAUUAUUUUGCCAAUGUAUUGGUAUUUUGGGAUUUCCAAAUUAAAUUGAUCAAGAGUGGUUCUGUAACAUCUUUUGCUGCCAAGAGCUUUUAUCCCUUCAUACAGGUACUAUGGCAUCGUUCCUAAACGAUUUCUACGAGCCAAAUGAUUUGUUCCAAGAGUUGGACAUAUCCCCUCACAUGGGAUCGUCCUCGAUGGAUCUGAACCCACUCGUAGAACACGUGAAUUGUAAGACUCGUAGUUAAGAUAAGAAGUCAAAUUUGACUAAGUGUCCUGAAAAAGGCGUUUGGGUGAUCUAUGUGAGAAGAGGUUGGUUAGACUGCGAGAAAGGUUAUGCGACUAGAUUUUUGAAGUUGUGUUUUAUGCGAAUAAGUUGUUUUGUGAGAUGAAAAACUAGGAAAGAAGAUGUCAAAUCUGAUUUCUAUUCAGAUGAUUCCUAAAGAGAGAUUAUGUGGGAAGAAGAAGGAGAGAAACCUUAGAAGUUUAAGCAGCUAAGUAGAGUGAGUGUUUUCUUUAAAAUGUUUAUGUUAAAAGUUUUCCUUAUAAAUUCUUAUUUGAUUUGAGUUAAUGAUUUCGAUUUA